This is a non-coding RNA of Mus musculus (house mouse), 137 nucleotides long. NCBI's taxonomy places the organism in Eukaryota, Metazoa, Chordata, Mammalia, Rodentia, Muridae. The record is from Rfam.
GACCCCUGGCAAUGGCCAAACAGAUACCUUGUACUUGGGAUUGUUUUUUUAUCAGUCAGGAGCAGAGCAGACCUUUGUUUACCUGAGAUUGGUGACUGGCUUGGUGGCCAAAGCUGUGUUAUGCCUAAGGCACAUAA